RNAcentral lists this ribosomal RNA (463 nucleotides) under uncultured bacterium. RNAcentral describes it as "partial 16S ribosomal RNA". It matches the Rfam family "Bacterial small subunit ribosomal RNA", at positions 28 to 507 of the family's 1533-position model. The record is from RNAcentral.
GAUGAACGCUGACAGAAUGCUUAACACAUGCAAGUCUUUGGCGAAGCUGUGCUUGCACAGCCUAGCCAAGGCGGACGGGUGAGUAACGCGUAAGGAACUUGCCCUGCAGUCAGGGAUAACAGACGGAAACGACUGAUAAGACCUGGUAAAGUCAGGCGGACUCAUGUCCAGCCUGAUGAAAAGAGAUGCUGCAGGAGAGCCUUGCGUCCCAUUAGCUUGUUGGUGGGGUAACGGCCAACCAGGGGGAUGAUAGGUAGCCGGCCGGACAGGGUGGACGGCCACAAGGGGGCUGAGAUACGGCCCUUACUGCUACGGGAGGCAGCAGUGGAGAAUAUUGGACAAUGGGGGCAACGCUGAUCCAGCAAUUCUGUGUGCACGAUGAAGGUUUUCGGAUUGUAAAGUGCUUUCAGCAGGGAAGAAAAAAAUGACGGUACCUGCAGAAGAAGCGACGGCUAAAUACGUG